UAGCUAUUACUUUAUGAUAACAAUUCCAAAGGUGGAAAGAGUUAGUAAAAGAAGAUUAAGAAAAGACAUUUAUCUUAGGAGACUUAACAGUAUGGUUCUAGUAAGCAGUCAAGAAAAGAUACCUAUCUUAGGAGACUUAACAAAAGAGGAUCUGAAACUUCAGGUCUGGGACGGAUACCCAACUUAGGUGCCAAAGGUAGCCCUCUCUGUAGUUUUUACCGCCUACAUAUGUAGCGGCUCUCUCCAACCUUCAUC
RNAcentral lists this long non-coding RNA (255 nucleotides) under Elaeis guineensis (African oil palm). RNAcentral's name for it is "long non-coding RNA (EGUI_LNC030005)". Lineage: Eukaryota; Viridiplantae; Streptophyta; Magnoliopsida; Arecales; Arecaceae. The record is from RNAcentral.